Molecule: long non-coding RNA, 275 nt
Filed under: Vitis vinifera (wine grape)
Lineage: Eukaryota; Viridiplantae; Streptophyta; Magnoliopsida; Vitales; Vitaceae
Description: long non-coding RNA (VVIN_LNC000867)
Source: RNAcentral
ACCUGGUGCCAGCGAUGUGGGACCCAGAGACUUCAGCAUGCGCCACGCUUGUGUAAAAGUAGUAGGGAGUGUGUAGAUACUGGUGGCUUCUUCUAUACGCAAAGUCUGUCGUGUUGCUUGACCUGUAAAUUGCCUUGCCUCCCCCAAAAUGGAAAAGAACAAAAAAAAAUAAUAAAGUGGAGAGUGUUAUAAAGUUAAGGACAUAGGAAUUGGCACGGGAAAUGAUUAUGAAUGUGUAUGGAUUGACGAUGAUGAUGGGUGUGGAAUAAAUAAAG